GGUGGCGACCGGCGCACGGGUGAGUAACGCGUAUGCAACCUACCUAUCAGAGGGGGAUAACCCGGCGAAAGUCGGACUAAUACCGCAUAAAACAGGGGCACCGCAUGGUGAUAUUUGUUAAAAAUUUAUUGCUGAUAGAUGGGCAUGCGUUCCAUUAGGUAGUUGGAGAGGUAACGGCUCACCAAGCCUACGAUGGAUAGGGGAACUGAGAGGUUGGUCCCCCACACUGGUACUGAGACACGGACCAGACUCCUACGGGAGGCAGCAGUGAGGAAUAUUGGUCAAUGGGCGAGAGCCUGAACCAGCCAAGUCGCGUGAAGGAAGAAGGAUCUAUGGUUCGUAAACUUCUUUUGCAGGGGAAUAAAGUGCAGGACGUGUCCUGUUUUGUAUGUACCCUGAGAAUAAGGAUCGGCUAACUCCGUGCCAGCAGCCGCGGUAAUACGGAGGAUCCGAGCGUUAUCCGGAUUUAUUGGGUUUAAAGGGUGCGUAGGUGGUUUAAUAAGUCAGCGGUGAAAGUUUGCAGCUUAACUGUAAAAAUGCCGUUGAAACUGUUAGACUUGAGUGUAAAUGAGGUAGGCGGAAUGCGUGGUGUAGCGGUGAAAUGCUUAGAUAUCACGAAGAACUCCGAUU
Molecule: ribosomal RNA, 630 nt
Filed under: uncultured Bacteroidales bacterium
Lineage: Bacteria; Pseudomonadati; Bacteroidota; Bacteroidia; Bacteroidales
Description: bacterial SSU rRNA
Rfam family: Bacterial small subunit ribosomal RNA
Source: RNAcentral